GGGGAUUUAGCUCAGUGGUAGAGCGCUUGCCUAGCAAACGCAAGGCCCUGGGUUCGGUCCCCAGCUCCCA
Molecule: transfer RNA, 70 nt
Filed under: Rattus norvegicus (Norway rat)
Lineage: Eukaryota; Metazoa; Chordata; Mammalia; Rodentia; Muridae
Rfam family: tRNA
About the family: Transfer RNA (tRNA) molecules are approximately 80 nucleotides in length.
Source: Rfam by way of RNAcentral